ACGACGACGAGACACUGCAUGUAUUUUACUUACAUCUUCAUGUGCGGCCGCCUUUUAGCUCCCUGCCCUCCCGUCCCCCGGUAAUGCAGUCCAGCCAGAGGCAGAGAGACAGGAGCCGCCCGCCGCCCGCCACUGUGAUACCCUUUCCACUCGGCAAUCCCCCCCUGCACGGCGCACGAACUCCUUGUCUGCCUGGUGUGAGGCAGCCGGAGCAGAGGAGCCUCUCACUAGGCAGACGGGGAGUGAGGGCGCCGUGCGCGCGCGGGGGGAAUAAUCGUGGUGGCGGCUCCUAUCUCCCCUCUGGCCUCUGGCCGGACUGCGUUACCGGGGGAUGGGAGGGCAGAGAGCUAAUCAGCGGCCGCACAUGUAAAUGUACAGUUAUGUAUGACUAUGACUCUUAAAUAGCAGGGAGAGAUCGCGGCCGGGACCGGGAGCUGCAGGCAUCUUCCGGAUCAUGUGAUCAUUACCGACUGAAGACGCCGUCUACCCAGGAAGGAUACAUUUCUUCAGAGGUUCCCCGUUAUGAGAAACCACCAUAUAGCUUCAUAUAUGUAAUUAUCGGUUGGCCUGGAUGGGCACAUGAUGCUCGGGUACUUGCCAAUUCAGAACUGUUUCGGCUAGCAGAGGAAAAGCAAGGCGGCUGGCUUUUCCCUAGAGAGCGCCGUAACCCGGCCGCCUGGCGUCUAUGGUCACCAUGGCAACCAGACGCGAUUCCAAUGACGACAUCAGUGGGAGACCGGAAGUGAAGCGGCAAACAGCGCGUCCGGGACGGCGUCUGAGCACAGAGCGGGAUUCUCUGGUAUUUAAGGACAGUCAGAGAAAGACUCUUUGAGAUAGUAUUCUAGCUGCAAUCAGAGUCAUCGAGAGUGAAGAUGGGCUGGAACUGAGGAGGAAAUGGCCAAAUCUGGGAAGGGUGGCCAUGUCCCUUUCUACAACAAUGAAAAAAUACCAUGCAUGGCACAGCAAAGGAGAGUGCCGUAAGACAUAAAUGGUUGUUCGGCAAACUGCAAAAAGGGACAUUUGUCCCCCUCAGCAUCUGGCCCACGCCACUCCAAGAAGCCCAGACACAGAUAAAGAGUACCCUCGUCACUCCUCUUGUUACCCAUGGCUACAAUAAUACAAUAAUAAUACAAUUA
Molecule: long non-coding RNA, 1136 nt
Organism: Pseudophryne corroboree (corroboree frog)
Lineage: Eukaryota; Metazoa; Chordata; Amphibia; Anura; Myobatrachidae
Exons: 5
Source: RefSeq, a predicted model, not a curated record